RNAcentral lists this ribosomal RNA (478 nucleotides) under uncultured bacterium. Its description in RNAcentral is "bacterial SSU rRNA". It matches the Rfam family "Bacterial small subunit ribosomal RNA", at positions 501 to 981 of the family's 1533-position model. The record is from RNAcentral.
CUACGUGCCAGCAGCCGCGGUAAUACGGAAGGUCCGGGCGUUAUCCGGAAUUAUUGGGUUUAAAGGGAGCGCAGGCGGGAGUGUAAGUCAGCUGUUAAAUAUCAGGGCCCAACUCUGUUAUGCAGUUGAAACUAUAUUUCUUGAGUACGCACAGGGAUGGCGGAAUUCAGGGUGUAGCGGUGAAAUGCUUAGAUAUCCUGAAGAACUCCGAUCGCGAAGGCAGCCAUCCGGAGCGUAACUGACGCUGAGGCUCGAAGGUGCGGGUAUCGAACAGGAUUAGAUACCCUGGUAGUCCGCACGGUAAACGAUGAAUACUCGCAGUUCGGCCUUUUAGGUCGAGUUGUCCAGCGAAAGCGUUAAGUAUUCCACCUGGGGAGUACGCCGGCAACGGUGAAACUCAAAGGAAUUGACGGGGGCCCGCACAAGCGGAGGAACAUGUGGUUUAAUUCGAUGAUACGCGAGGAACCUUACCCGGGCU